AACCAUAGAAACCUGCGGAGUACCUGCGGAGGGAUCAUUACCGAGUUUACAACUCCCAAACCCCUGUGAACAUACCUAUACGUUGCCUCGGCGGAUCAGCCCGCGCCCUGUAAAACGGGACGGCCCGCCCGAGGACCCUAAACUCUGUUUUUAGUGGAACUUCUGAGUAAAACAAACAAAUAAAUCAAAACUUUUAGCAACGGAUCU
This 207-nucleotide unclassified non-coding RNA is filed under the name soil metagenome. Its description in RNAcentral is "partial contains 5.8S ribosomal RNA, internal transcribed spacer 2, and large subunit ribosomal RNA". The record is from RNAcentral.